UACGUAGGCAGCAAGCGUUGUUCGGAGUUACUGGGCGUAAAGGGUGUGUAGGCGGUUCUUUAAGUUUGCUGGGAAAUCUCCCGGCUUAACCGGGAGGGUGCGGUGAAUACUGAGGGACUAGAGUACGGGAGAGGAAAGUGGAAUUCCUGGUGUAGCGGUGAAAUGCGUAGAUAUCAGGAGGAACACCGGUGGUGUAGACGGCUUUCUGGACCGACACUGACGCUGAGACACGAAAGCGUGGGUAGCAAACAGG
RNAcentral lists this ribosomal RNA (253 nucleotides) under uncultured bacterium. Its description in RNAcentral is "partial 16S ribosomal RNA". It matches the Rfam family "Bacterial small subunit ribosomal RNA", at positions 524 to 776 of the family's 1533-position model. The record is from RNAcentral.